AUUUAGAUAGCUUAAACUUAGAGCAUAAUAUUGAAGAUAUUAGGGUGAUUUUAACAUCUUUAAAUA
RNAcentral lists this transfer RNA (66 nucleotides) under Sciopemyia fluviatilis. Its description in RNAcentral is "tRNA-Phe". Lineage: Eukaryota; Metazoa; Arthropoda; Insecta; Diptera; Psychodidae. The record is from RNAcentral.